This is a non-coding RNA of Vicia faba (fava bean), 276 nucleotides long. Lineage: Eukaryota; Viridiplantae; Streptophyta; Magnoliopsida; Fabales; Fabaceae. The record is from the annotation of a GenBank genome assembly.
AUGUCAAACAGAAAAAUAUAUCGGUAUUCCAUAAUUCCAUUGAUCAAUCAAACAUCAAUUGAGAGCUUUAUACAUUACCUAAGGCAUGCAACAACAAUUGCGCAUAAAACCAAUACAUGUCUACUUUCUUCACAGGGUGAAGAGAGAAAUAUGAAAACUCCAUUCUCCAGUUUCCUGAGUAGUUUGCCAAGGCACAAAAUCAUGAUAAAUUAUAUCAAAUUAGUGCCACGGUAUAUUCCAGAUCUCAACCUUCCACUGAAUCACAGAAAUGCAUGA